Long non-coding RNA from Bubalus bubalis (water buffalo), 1120 nucleotides. RefSeq lists it as uncharacterized. The transcript is spliced from 3 exons. The record is from RefSeq and is a predicted model, not a curated record. Lineage: Eukaryota; Metazoa; Chordata; Mammalia; Artiodactyla; Bovidae.
CUCCAGGAACUUGAAAUCAGCGGUGUCUAUUUUAGGAUGAGUCUAUGAAAUGGGAUAGGACCACCAACCCCUCAACUGGACCUGCGCAUGUCUGCUUCUAAUUUUGUGACGGUCCAGAGGCCUGUAGCCUAGUUAUGCCUGUGCAGAACAGUGAUUCCCCGGCACCUGUUCCCCAUCACCUUUCCCCACAUUGCCCACGCCUCCCUGCUGUGCACCCUGAGAAUGCUGGGCCUCUUCAUUCCUGAUCCCAUAAAUACCCAGAGCCCGUGGACUUCAGGAGACCAGCUUGAGGUUUGUGCCUGCUUUUUACUCUUUUUCACAGGCACUUCAUCUCUGGAGCUCCUGCAGAAAAAGGCAGUUUCUUUUUUUUUUUUUUUUUUAAUUUUUGGUCCUCCAUUUUAAGUAUUUUGGAGUUUUUGAACUUAAGGAUAGAGAAUUGUUUUUCGAAGCCACAGAAGUUACAGUGGGUGGCAGUUCCCACCUCGACAACUGUGGUGGUUCCUGGGAGUGGUUGGCUUCUGCUGUGUCUGGAUCCCUAACUUCAGACUCAUAGCAAAACCUUUUGAAUGAAGCUUUUAAAGGAAGAGAUUGUGACCCCCUCUAGACUGAAAUCUUGGAGGAUAAACAUCCAGAAGACUGGUUUUGUCCUUGCUGGACUGGGCCUUAUGAGAUAUAGAUGGGAAAUGGAAGCCAUGCUGCACAAAAACCGGGAACAAGGUUGCCCAAACUUGCAUGGUUCCAGAUCCUGAUGCUGACUGCUCCUUGGGGCAGGUGAACCAAAACAGAUCUCAAGUUGCUUCUCAGAAACUGCAAGAAAUAAGAGUAAUAAAGGGCUUCUACUUUCAAGAGGAGAAAGACCAACUCUAAAGCUACUGCCAGGGCCUGAGUGAGCUGGCAGGACUCAAGAGUGGUCAGAAUUCAUGGAUGACAUCUUGGUAGAGACAGAACACCGCAGAGACUGAGAAGUGAGGCUACAGAAAGUCAUCUGUAGCUGAGAUUUAAUGAGUCUCUCUGGAAAGACCAGUGGAGCCACGAACCAGGUUUGUUAACCACUACCAGCUGAAAGGGGACUUCCCAGGUGGCUCGGUGGUAAAGAAUCCUCCUGCCAAUGCAAGAGACG